UUAGCUUGCUAAGGCUGAUGGCGACCGGCGCACGGGUGAGUAACACGUAUCCAACCUGCCGUCUACUCUUGGCCAGCCUUCUGAAAGGAAGAUUAAUCCAGGAUGGGAUCAUGAGUUCACAUGUCCGCAUGAUUAAAGGUAUUUUCCGGUAGACGAUGGGGAUGCGUUCCAUUAGAUAGUAGGCGGGGUAACGGCCCACCUAGUCAACGAUGGAUAGGGGUUCUGAGAGGAAGGUCCCCCACAUUGGAACUGAGACACGGUCCAAACUCCUACGGGAGGCAGCAGUGAGGAAUAUUGGUCAAUAGGCGAUGGCCUGAACCAGCCAAGUAGCGUGAAGGAUGACUGCCCUAUGGGUUGUAAACUUCUUUUAUAAAGGAAUAAAGUCGGGUAUGCAUACCCGUUUGCAUGUACUUUAUGAAUAAGGAUCGGCUAACUCCGUGCCAGCAGCCGCGGUAAUACGGAGGAUCCGAGCGUUAUCCGGAUUUAUUGGGUUUAAAGGGAGCGUAGAUGGAUGUUUAAGUCAGUUGUGAAAGUUUGCGGCUCAACCGUAAAAUUGCAGUUGAUACUGGAUGUCUUGAGUGCAGUUGAGGCAGGCGGAAUUCGUGGUGUAGCGGUGAAAUGCUUAGAUAUCACGAAGAACUCCGAUUGCGAAG
This 653-nucleotide ribosomal RNA is filed under the name uncultured Bacteroidales bacterium. RNAcentral's name for it is "bacterial SSU rRNA". It matches the Rfam family "Bacterial small subunit ribosomal RNA", at positions 72 to 720 of the family's 1533-position model. Lineage: Bacteria; Pseudomonadati; Bacteroidota; Bacteroidia; Bacteroidales. The record is from RNAcentral.